AAGUCGAUAGGCCCGAUCGGGUCUGUGUUGGGCCUCGCACGUCAGGGCGUCGCCUCGAAUGAAUCGGUCGAAUGUGCGGACGAGAUCCAUUAGGACUGACCGUUCAGAGACCAUAAACCUCUG
This 123-nucleotide unclassified non-coding RNA is filed under the name uncultured Archaeorhizomyces. RNAcentral's name for it is "partial internal transcribed spacer 2". The record is from RNAcentral. Lineage: Eukaryota; Fungi; Ascomycota; Archaeorhizomycetes; Archaeorhizomycetales; Archaeorhizomycetaceae.